UAGGGGGCAAGCGUUAUCCGGAUUUACUGGGUGUAAAGGGAGCGUAGACGGCAAAGCAAGUCUGAAGUGAAAGGUCGGGGCUUAACCCCGGAACUGCUUUGGAAACUGUUAUGCUAGAGUGCUGGAGAGGUAAGUGGAAUUCCUAGUGUAGCGGUGAAAUGCGUAGAUAUUAGGAGGAACGCCAGUGGCGAAGGCGGCUUACUGGACUGUAACUGACGUUGAGGCUCGAAAGCGUGGGGAGCAAA
RNAcentral lists this ribosomal RNA (245 nucleotides) under uncultured bacterium. RNAcentral's name for it is "partial 16S ribosomal RNA". It matches the Rfam family "Bacterial small subunit ribosomal RNA", at positions 528 to 772 of the family's 1533-position model. The record is from RNAcentral.